This 379-nucleotide unclassified non-coding RNA is filed under the name soil metagenome. RNAcentral describes it as "partial contains 5.8S ribosomal RNA, internal transcribed spacer 2, and large subunit ribosomal RNA". The stretch from base 1 to 120 matches the Rfam family "5.8S ribosomal RNA", at positions 35 to 154 of the family's 154-position model. The record is from RNAcentral.
GAUGAAGAACGCAGUGAAAUGCGAUAAGUAAUGUGAAUUGCAGAAUUCAGUGAAUCAUCGAAUCUUUGAACGCACCUUGCACCCUUUGGCAUUCCGAAGGGUAUGCUCGUUUGAGUGUCAUUGUACUCUCACACUUCCAAUCUUUGGAUUGGGAGCAGUGGACUUGGGUGUUGCUGCUUACUGUGGCUCACCUCAAAUCGAUUCGUGCACCUCUUGGUUGGACAUAGUACGGCGUGAUAAGUGUCUUCGCCGGCACCUCAGUAGAGGGUGGCUGAUCAGGAGCUCUGUGCUUCAAACCGUCCCCGGACAACAACUGACAACUUGACCUCAAAUCGAGUAGGACUACCCGCUGAACUUAAGCAUAUCAAUAAGCGGAGGA